Molecule: ribosomal RNA, 818 nt
Filed under: uncultured bacterium
Lineage: Bacteria
Description: bacterial SSU rRNA
Rfam family: Bacterial small subunit ribosomal RNA
Source: RNAcentral
CUCUUCGGGGAUGAUUAAACCGGCGCACGGGUGAGUAACACGUGAGUGACCUGCCUUUUAGACUGGAACAACUUACCGAAAGGUGAGCUAAUGCCGGAUGAGUUAUAUAAGUGCAUGUUUAUAUAGGAAAAGUUGGGGAGACCUGACGCUGAAAGAUGGACUCGCGUCCCAUUAGCUAGUUGGUAGGGUAAUGGCCUACCAAGGCGACGAUGGGUAGCCGGCCUGAGAGGGUGGCCGGCCACACUGGGACUGAGACACGGCCCAGACUCCUACGGGAGGCAGCAGUGGGGAAUUUUGCGCAAUGCUCGUAAGAGUGACGCAGCGACGCCGCGUGAAUGACGAAGGCCUUCGGGUCGUAAAGUUCUUUCGACAGGGAAGAAAAUGCCUAUAAGUAACUGUGUAUGUAUUGACGGUACCUGUAUAAGCAGCCCCGGCUAACUCCGUGCCAGCAGCCGCGGUAAUACGGAGGGGGCGAGCGUUGUUCGGAGUGACUGGGCGUAAAGAGCACGUAGGCGGUGUUGUAAGUCAUUAGUCAAAGACUAGAGCUCAACUUUAGUAAGGCUAGUGAUACUAUAAUACUAGAGUAUCAGAGAGGAUUGCAGAAUUCCUGGUGUAGCGGUGAAAUGCGUAGAUAUCAGGAGGAAUACCGUUAGCGAAGGCGGCAAUCUGGCUGGAAACUGACGCUGAGGUGCGAAAGCGUGGGUAGCAAACAGGAUUAGAUACCCUGGUAGUCCACGCUGUAAACGAUGGAUGCUAGGUGUUGGGCUUUUAAGUUCAGUGCCGCAGCAAACGCGAUAAGCAUCCCGCCUGGGGAGUAC